Long non-coding RNA from Mustela erminea (ermine), 1078 nucleotides. RefSeq lists it as uncharacterized. The record is from RefSeq and is a predicted model, not a curated record. The transcript is spliced from 5 exons. Lineage: Eukaryota; Metazoa; Chordata; Mammalia; Carnivora; Mustelidae.
AGGCGCAUCCGCCCUGGGAAAAGUGAGAGGCGGCGGAGAGGCGGGCCUGGGAGCCAACGGCUCGGUCGUUUCAACCAAUGAGGUAGAAAGCUCCUUUUCACAGAUGGGAUAUGUGUCUGAUUCAUCUCACAACCAGAAAACUUCAUAUCUUGGGCUGGGAGGACCGAAGAGUUGUGAGAUGAAGUCAACUAGAAUUAUCUACGCAAGUUUCCUUGUCUACCAAAUGAAUAAAAGGACCAUGAAGAUCGCUGAAAUAUGUAGAGGACAAGUGGGACACAGCCUGUAGAGGAGCGUGGGCGGGAUCAGGGGAACUAGUCAGAAUACUGUGGCAGCCCAGACCCACACUGAUGUUUUCCAGGAUCCUCAGAACAUGUAAAGCAGGUUCUCUCUUGAAGGGAGGUCUGAGUGGCAUACUCCCACAGCUGCUGUAUGUAGCUGCCCUACUGGAGAGACCCUGUGGAGAGGCCAUGUGAAGAGGAGAGAGCCUGAAUCUACAUGGAGAAGGAGCAAGGUCCAGUCACCUCAGUAUCCCAGAUCCCAGGUGAGCCUCCACAGGACUCCAGCCUCCGCCACCAUCUGACUGAAACUCCCAUAGGAGAAGCCUUCCAGUCAACCCACAACAUUGUGAGUGAUAAAAAAAAAAAAAUUUGUCGUUGUUUUAAGCCAGUAAGGGUUGGGCUGGUUUGUUACGUAGCAAGAGCUAACUGAAACAACAGUGAAGUUCAUAAAAUGCACUAAUCUUAUGUAUAGAGAUCUAUGAAUUUUGCCACAUGCAAACUCCUAUGGAGAGAUCACUCAGAUCAAUGUAUAGAAUGUUUACAGCAAUCCAGAAGGUUCCUUUGUGCCCUCUUCCCAGUCAAUACCCCUCCCCAAACCAGAGAUGCCACUCUAUCAAGUUCUAUCACCACCAGUUAGUUUUGUAUGUUCUUGACUUUCAUUUAAAUGGAAUUAUACAGCAUACACUUUUUAGUGCCUGGCUUCUUUCACUCAUGAUUAUGUUGGCAAGAGUCAUCCAUGUAGUUGGGUGUAACAGGAAUCUGCCCGCUUUUUAUUGCUGUAUGAACAUACUAUACUCUGU